UUAAAUAUAGUAUUUAUUGACUUAUUAUGUAAAAAUUUAACACUAAUUUUGCUCCUUGAAACAGAUAAAAAUAUGUUUUUAUAGAAAACCUUCUAUCUCGGAGGUAACAAUCGGUUUUCUUGCCUCUUAGAAUUGGAUUGUACACAUCCCAAAACUAUCUUUUCGUUACAUCAUCAAGUUUAUUUCAGGGACAAGAACAAGCGAUGAAAAGAUAGAGAAAAAUGAAGAGGUUUUCAAAGGACGAAAGCGCAUGGUAGUCAACAUCACCGACAUCAAACGACCAUCGCCACCUCAAUAUGUCAACAAUUACCCGUUGUCUACAAUCUGUGCCAUCAUAUUGAUCAUGAAGAUAACUUAGUAUGCAUAGAUCCACGCUAGAAGGAGAAGACAAGUUGUCCUAGUUGUGUUUGUGGUAAAAUCAUGUCCUUAUUUAUUUUGGUCUUUCCGGCUACUAUUAGUACUACUUAGUCCGAUCUCAGUAUCUAGUCUUGUAUUUCCUCAGUUGGUGUCUCUAUCAUGUAAUUAUUUCGUCUACUAGCUUGUUGCAUGACACGUCUUGUAAGCAAACAUUAGUUGUGAAGGUCAUGUAUACCGUAAAGUAUCAAUCCUACUGUUUCUGUUUCUAAAUAUAUAUAUUUUUAAA
Long non-coding RNA from Hordeum vulgare subsp. vulgare (domesticated barley), 643 nucleotides. RefSeq lists it as uncharacterized. The transcript has 2 exons. NCBI's taxonomy places the organism in Eukaryota, Viridiplantae, Streptophyta, Magnoliopsida, Poales, Poaceae. The record is from RefSeq and is a predicted model, not a curated record.